ACUGCUCAGUAACACGUGGAUAACCUGCCCUUGGGUCCGGCAUAACCCCGGGAAACUGGGGAUAAUUCCGGAUAACGCACAUAUGCUGGAAUGCUUUAUGCGUCAAAUGGAUUCGUCUGCCCAAGGAUGGGUCUGCGGCCUAUCAGGUAGUAGUGGGUGUAAUGUACCUACUAGCCGACGACGGGUACGGGUUGUGAGAGCAAGAGCCCGGAGAUGGAUUCUGAGACAUGAAUCCAGGCCCUACGGGGCGCAGCAGGCGCGAAAACUUUACAAUGCGGGAAACCGUGAUAAGGGGACACCGAGUGCCAGCAUCAUAUGCUGGCUGUCCGGGUGUGUAAAAUACACCUGUUAGCAAGGGCCGGGCAAGACCGGUGCCAGCCGCCGCGGUAACACCGGCGGCCCGAGUGGUGAUCGUGAUUAUUGGGUCUAAAGGGUCCGUAGCCGGUUUGGUCAGUCCUCCGGGAAAUCUGACGGCUUAACCGUUAGGCUUUCGGAGGAUACUGCCAGGCUUGGAACCGGGAGAGGUAAGAGGUACUACAGGGGUAGGAGUGAAAUCUUGUAAUCCCUGUGGGACCACCUGUGGCGAAGGCGUCUUACCAGAACGGGUUCGACGGUGAGGGACGAAAGCUGGGGGCACGAACCGGAUUAGAUACCCGGGUAGUCCCAGCCGUAAACGAUGCUCGCUAGGUGUCAGGCAUGGCGCGACCGUGUCUGGUGCCGCAGGGAAGCCGUGAAGCGAGCCACCUGGGAAGUACGGCCGCAAGGCUGAAACUUAAAGGAAUUGGCGGGGGAGCAC
Molecule: ribosomal RNA, 796 nt
Filed under: uncultured archaeon
Lineage: Archaea
Description: bacterial SSU rRNA
Rfam family: Archaeal small subunit ribosomal RNA
Source: RNAcentral